CAGAACGAACGCUGGCGGCGUGCUUAACACAUGCAAGUCGUACGAGAAAUCCUGAGCAAUCGGGAGAGUAAAGUGGCGCACGGGUGAGUAACGCGUGGGUAACCUGCCCUUGGAUUGGGGAUAACCUCGCGAAAGCGGGGUUAAUACCGAAUAAUAUGCCGAUUCCCAAGGGAGUUGGCAUCAAAGAUGGCCUCUGCUUGCAAGCUAUUGUCUAAGGAUGGGCCCGCGUACCAUUAGCUAGUUGGGAGGGUAAUGGCCUACCAAGGCUACGAUGGUUAGCUGGUCUGAGAGGACGACCAGCCACACUGGAACUGAGACACGGUCCAGACUCCUACGGGAGGCAGCAGUGGGGAAUCUUGCGCAAUGGGGGAAACCCUGACGCAGCGACGCCGCGUGGGUGAUGAAGGCCUUCGGGUCGUAAAGCCCUGUCAGGUGGGAAGAAACGUAUCGGUGCUAAUAUCAUCGAUAUUUGACGGUACCACCGGAGGAAGCACCGGCUAACUCCGUGCCAGCAGCCGCGGUAA
This 524-nucleotide ribosomal RNA is filed under the name uncultured delta proteobacterium. Its description in RNAcentral is "bacterial SSU rRNA". It matches the Rfam family "Bacterial small subunit ribosomal RNA", at positions 25 to 523 of the family's 1533-position model. Lineage: Bacteria; Deltaproteobacteria. The record is from RNAcentral.